Molecule: long non-coding RNA, 797 nt
Filed under: Chrysolophus pictus (golden pheasant)
Lineage: Eukaryota; Metazoa; Chordata; Aves; Galliformes; Phasianidae
Description: lncRNA (ENSCPIG00010011107.1)
Source: RNAcentral
AUGAUGUCUGCGGGAAAUCAGCCCUCACAUAUAAAGAAAGAUAGCGUGGGGCUGACGGACGCCAGUGGGCAUCCCCCGAGCUCCGGGCAGCACCCGGCCCGGCGGCUGCGGGCGGGAGAAGGGGAGAAGUGGCCCCGGUGUCGGCCCCGGUGUCGGCCGGAGCUGCCCUCGUUCGCGGCCCGGAGCCGGGCACGACCCCGCAGUGCUUUUCUGAGAGGAUCUCCUCCGAGAUUAAAGCUAAAUCCUAAGAGCAACCGAAUGGCUGCGCCUGGCUUUCCCGGGACUGGGAGGAGAGGGAGAAGUACGGUUGAAGAGCCGCUGGAGCGAGCCCGAGCUCCCGGGGGAGAAGGAAGGUUGGCCCGUGGAGAGGCAGCCAGCAGGUAUUUCAGUGACCGUUCCUUUGAACACGUUCAGUCUCUGCCUUUUCCAUCCGGAACGUCUUCCUCAGACCAACUGUGAUUUCUGCCGUAAUUCUUGAGUGUGUUUACGAUCGCUUCGGAGGAGAUGGUUGCCGCAGUGUGUGGCAAGUGCUUCUUCGAGAAAUCCAUCAGCCUUUCUACGGUGACUCCGAGGAAAGAGUCACUUUCGCGCAUUCCCAGGUGUUGCGAGGAGGAGAGAAGCAAAGGGCCGGGGCGCUCCAUGGGGGGUGGAAGGGGGGAGGGUGAAGGGGCACCUGGGGAGGGGAAUCCGCCCAGUGCGUGUGGGACCGCUUGCCGGUCAGGGCCGGGGAACGCGCCCCUUCUGCCGUAAUUAGUCGGAACAAUAAACAUAAUUGGAAUAAAAUCGGUUGGAAAUUC